AUCGCUUCUCGGCCUUUUGGCUAAGAUCAAGUGUAGUAACUCUACCUGUCAAAAAAAAAUUCUACAAAGCUGUAUUAAUUAAUGCAACAGAGUAGUAGGGAAAUGAUUGGCAUAUAGAUUGGAUGUAACUUACAGCCCAUAUGAAAACCCUUAUAUUUAUGAUUAAUUGAUUUUUCAAGGAUGU
Oryctolagus cuniculus (rabbit) is the source of this 184-nucleotide small nuclear RNA. Its record names the gene U2. It matches the Rfam family "U2 spliceosomal RNA". Rfam says of the family: U2 is a small nuclear RNA (snRNA) component of the spliceosome (involved in pre-mRNA splicing). Complementary binding between U2 snRNA (in an area lying towards the 5' end but 3' to hairpin I) and the branchpoint sequence (BPS) of the intron results the bulging out of an unpaired adenosine, on the BPS, which initiates a nucleophilic attack at the intronic 5' splice site, thus starting the first of two transesterification reactions that mediate splicing. The record is from Ensembl. Lineage: Eukaryota; Metazoa; Chordata; Mammalia; Lagomorpha; Leporidae.